AUUGAACGCUGGCGGCAGGCUUAACACAUGCAAGUCGAACGAUGACUCUCUAGCUUGCUAGAGAAGAUUAGUGGCGGACGGGUGAGUAACAUUUAGGAAUCUGCCUAGUAGUGGGGGAUAGCUCGGGGAAACUCGAAUUAAUACCGCAUACGACCUACGGGUGAAAGGGGGCGCAAGCUCUUGCUAUUAGAUGAGCCUAAAUCAGAUUAGCUAGUUGGUGGGGUAAAGGCCUACCAAGGCGACGAUCUGUAACUGGUCUGAGAGGAUGAUCAGUCACACCGGAACUGAGACACGGUCCGGACUCCUACGGGAGGCAGCAGUGGGGAAUAUUGGACAAUGGGGGCAACCCUGAUCCAGCCAUGCCGCGUGUGUGAAGAAGGCCUUUUGGUUGUAAAGCACUUUAAGCAGGGAGGAGAGGCUAAUGGUUAAUACCCAUUAGAUUAGACGUUACCUGCAGAAUAAGCACCGGCUAACUCUGUGCCAGCAGCCGCGGUAAUACAGAGGGUGCGAGCGUUAAUCGGAAUUACUGGGCGUAAAGCGAGUGUAGGUGGCUCAUUAAGUCACAUGUGAAAUCCCCCGGGCUUAACCCUGGGAACUGCAUGUGAUACUGGUGGUGCUAGAAUAUGUGAGAGGGAAGUAGAAUUCCAGGUGUAGCGGUGAAAUGCGUAGAGAUCUGGAGGAAUACCGAUGGCGAAGGCAGCUUCCUGGCAUAAUAUUGACACUGAGAUUCGAAAGCGUGGGUAGCAAACAGGAUUAGAUACCCUGGUAGUCCACGCCGUAAACGAUGUCUACUAGCCGUUGGGGUCCUUGAGACUUUAGUGGCGCAGUUAACGCGAUAAGUAGACCGCCUGGGGAGUACGGCCGCAAGGUUAAAACUCAAAUGAAUUGACGGGGGCCCGCACAAGCGGUGGAGCAUGUGGUUUAAUUCGAUGCAACGCGAAGAACCUUACCUGGUCUUGACAUAGUGAGAAUCUUUCAGAGAUGAGAGAGUGCCUUUGGGAACUCACAUACAGGUGCUGCAUGGCUGUCGUCAGCUCGUGUCGUGAGAUGUUGGGUUAAGUCCCGCAACGAGCGCAACCCUUUUCCUCAUUUGCCAGCGGGUUAAGCCGGGAACUUUAAGGAUACUGCCAGUGACAAACUGGAGGAAGGCGGGGACGACGUCAAGUCAUCAUGGCCCUUACGACCAGGGCUACACACGUGCUACAAUGGUAGGUACAGAGGGUUGCUACACAGCGAUGUGAUGCGAAUCUCAAAAAGCCUAUCGUAGUCCGGAUUGGAGUCUGCAACUCGACUCCAUGAAGUCGGAAUCGCUAGUAAUCGCGGAUCAGAAUGCCGCGGUGAAUACGUUCCCGGGCCU
RNAcentral lists this ribosomal RNA (1357 nucleotides) under uncultured bacterium. Its description in RNAcentral is "bacterial SSU rRNA". It matches the Rfam family "Bacterial small subunit ribosomal RNA", at positions 28 to 1381 of the family's 1533-position model. The record is from RNAcentral.